CCUACGGGAGGCAGCAGUGGGGAAUCUUGCGCAAUGGGCGAAAGCCUGACGCAGCCAUGCCGCGUGAAUGAUGAAGGUCUUAGGAUUGUAAAAUUCUUUCACCGGGGACGAUAAUGACGGUACCCGGAGAAGAAGCCCCGGCUAACUUCGUGCCAGCAGCCGCGGUAAUACGAAGGGGGCUAGCGUUGCUCGGAAUUACUGGGCGUAAAGGGAGCGUAGGCGGAUAGUUUAGUCAGAGGUGAAAGCCCAGGGCUCGACCUUGGAAUUGCCUUUGAUACUGGCUAUCUUGAGUACGGAAGAGGUAUGUGGAACUCCGAGUGUAGAGGUGAAAUUCGUAGAUAUUCGGAAGAACACCAGUGGCGAAGGCGACAUACUGGUCCGUUACUGACGCUGAGGCUCGAAAGCGUGGGGGGCAAACAGGAUUAGAUACCCUGGUAGUCCACGCUGUAAACGAUGAGUGCUAGUUGUCGGCAUGCAUGCAUGUCGGUGACGCAGCUAACGACAUAAGACACUCCGCCGUCGGGAGGUACGGUACGGCGAAGAAGUUAAACUAACGUAAAGAAAGUUAGUUACGGCGUUGAGACGUUGCCGACGGACGACGACGAGGGAGGAGG
RNAcentral lists this ribosomal RNA (614 nucleotides) under uncultured bacterium. Its description in RNAcentral is "bacterial SSU rRNA". The stretch from base 1 to 518 matches the Rfam family "Bacterial small subunit ribosomal RNA", at positions 338 to 873 of the family's 1533-position model. The record is from RNAcentral.